AGGUCCCGUCAGAGCUAGGCAAGAUGUUGGCAUAGCUGAAUGAUCGCUAUAACAACUAUCAGCUUCGCCACAUUCUGCCACGCACUGAUGUGAGGACCU
Molecule: microRNA precursor, 99 nt
Organism: Caenorhabditis elegans
Lineage: Eukaryota; Metazoa; Nematoda; Chromadorea; Rhabditida; Rhabditidae
Source: Ensembl